Small nuclear RNA from Suncus etruscus (white-toothed pygmy shrew), 103 nucleotides. The record is from RefSeq and is a predicted model, not a curated record. NCBI's taxonomy places the organism in Eukaryota, Metazoa, Chordata, Mammalia, Eulipotyphla, Soricidae.
UUACUUUGGCAGCAAAUAUACUAUAAUUGGAACGAUACAGAGAAGAUUAGCAUGGCCCCUGCACACGAAUAACACUCAAAAUUAUGAACCAUUCUGUAGGGUU